GGUUUUCUUCGCAGCGGAGCUCGACCGCCCACGCAAGUGAUCUGCGCGUUCAUCGACGCGAAAAAAGAUCAGUACGGGGUCGAGCCGAUCUGCCGCGUUCUCUCCGAACACGGGUGCAAGAUCGCCCCG
The sequence is a regulatory RNA element, 129 nucleotides long. It matches the Rfam family "ALIL pseudoknot". The record is from Rfam.